Molecule: transfer RNA, 74 nt
Rfam family: tRNA
About the family: Transfer RNA (tRNA) molecules are approximately 80 nucleotides in length. Their secondary structure includes four short double-helical elements and three loops (D, anti-codon, and T loops). Further hydrogen bonds mediate the characteristic L-shaped molecular structure. tRNAs have two regions of fundamental functional importance: the anti-codon, which is responsible for specific mRNA codon recognition, and the 3' end, to which the tRNAs corresponding amino acid is attached (by aminoacyl-tRNA synthetases). tRNAs cope with the degeneracy of the genetic code in two manners: having more than one tRNA (with a specific anti-codon) for a particular amino acid; and 'wobble' base-pairing, i.e. permitting non-standard base-pairing at the 3rd anti-codon position.
Source: Rfam
GGUCCUAUGGUGUAGGGGUCUAACACGCCUGCCUGUCACGCAGGAGAUCGUCGGUUCAAAUCCGUCUAGGACCG